UUACUUCAAUGAUAAGAAUUUCCGUGGUAGGGAUGCUUUUAAGAGUUUCCUGGCCGAGAAUCAUAGUGCAUUUGAAGAACUUCAAAUGAAACACAGGGAGAAGCUUCUUGAUGAUACCGAGGUGGAAAAGGUACAAGAUUCAGAUGUGACUAGUGAUGUCAAAGAAGAAAUUACAACAACACUCGAGUCUACCGAUGAAGAAUCCUCAGCUGCUGUCGAAGCUUGAUCUUAUGAAUUAUGGCGCACUCGAGCAACCAUGUCGACCAAUGUGAUUUAUGUAUGAUGUAGCUUGACGAAUCGGAAGCAAAAAAUGUUCAACUCAAAUCAACAAGGCUCAUAGAAAUGAUGUAUAUGCCUAAAAUCCUUGUCGGUUGGUUUGGGAUCACAUCAUUCUUGGGGUCAAACAUUUGAUUAUCUAUGGAGGAUGAUAUGAACUCAUACCGUGCCCCUUGGGAACUACCAGGGGAGCUGUUGGUGGUCUGGAAUCAAGGUGCUUCCACCUCUAUACUGGGGAUCCUAUCUUUGAUUAUCUAUCAUAAAUAUCAAAAAGGGUGUUUUUGUAGUUUCAUCUUUUUGUGAUUACAACCUUUAGCUCAGUUCAGUUGAACAAUAGAUGAAAAUAAUGUAAUGUUGCUGCUCUAUGUUGAGCUUCCUUAUCUGACUCUGACUUAUGAAAA
Molecule: long non-coding RNA, 677 nt
Organism: Arachis duranensis
Lineage: Eukaryota; Viridiplantae; Streptophyta; Magnoliopsida; Fabales; Fabaceae
Exons: 2
Source: RefSeq, a predicted model, not a curated record